UCAGGAUGAACGCUGGCGGCGUGCUUAAUACAUGCAAGCGAACGGAAGACUAGAAAUAGGAAUAGUGGCGAACGGGUGAGUAACGCGUUGGUGACCUGCCCCGAAGAGGGGGAUAACAGCUCGAAAGGGCUGCUAAUACCCCAUGAGAUCUCUGCUGUUAGAGAGUAGAGAUGAAAGGAGCGAUCCGCGUUUGGGAGGGGCCUGCGUCCCAUCAGCUAGUUGGUAAGGUAAAAGCCUACCAAGGCGAAGACGGGUAGGGGGCCUGAGAGGGUGACCCCCCACACUGGCACUGAAACACGGGCCAGACACCUACGGGUGGCAGCAGGUAGGGAAUAUUGCACAAUGGGCGAAAGCCUUGAUGCAGCAACGCCGCGUGCGCGAAGAAGGCCUUCGGGUUGUAAAGCGCUUUCGGGGAGAAGAGGAAGGACAGUAUCCCCGGAAUAAGGCUCGGCUAACUACGUGCCAGCCGCCGC
This 473-nucleotide ribosomal RNA is filed under the name uncultured bacterium. RNAcentral's name for it is "bacterial SSU rRNA". It matches the Rfam family "Bacterial small subunit ribosomal RNA", at positions 24 to 518 of the family's 1533-position model. The record is from RNAcentral.